This is a long non-coding RNA of Lolium perenne, 709 nucleotides long. RefSeq lists it as uncharacterized. NCBI's taxonomy places the organism in Eukaryota, Viridiplantae, Streptophyta, Magnoliopsida, Poales, Poaceae. The record is from RefSeq and is a predicted model, not a curated record.
CUUCAGCAAGCAGCAGCAUAUGCACACCUCAAACUCACCAGGAUACUAAGCCAGCUAAGCUGAGAUUGGAUAUGGGGUCCUUUGCUAAAGCUGCGCGUUUCCUGGUGCCUCUCCAGAUCGCCUUGUUCGUCGUCUCAGCCGUCAUCAUGAACAGCUCAGUCUGCCAUGGAGCUCGCGACAUCAGUGCAGGAAUCGGCUACCCUUCUUUGAACCCUAACCAUCCUCCGUGCGCCAGGAAACCGUGCCCGUCGCCUGGUCAGCCCUACACCCGCGGACCCCCUCCCCCAAACAACGGAGGAAUUGGACGGCCUUGAUGCAUCAUGUCUCCCUCUAGCAGUGCAAGUUACUACCACGAUCUUGCACUGAAUCGGCAGCAAUAUUGUCUCGUGUACUUACGUUAUGGUUGUGCGAACAUGAAACUUCGGUUCAGAAUUAAUAAAAGACAUUGAUGAGAGCGCACUGUAUAGGAGUUUGUUUAUGUGUGUAAUUAUAUGUAUCAACUGAGAACAGACCGUCGGUCUGGUGGCAAGACGUGCGGGAGCGCAUGCUGCCCACCUGGGUUCGAGCCUUGGGCUCGGCGGAUGCUCGGGAGUUUUCUUCUAAAAAAAUACCAAUGGGUGCUAGUGUCUGGGUUGGUCUCGUUUUAACUAUAUGUAUCAACUUAUUUUUCGAUAAAAAGAAUAUAUUAAUAUUGCGAAAAUACUAAUUA